GACAGAGGAGCCAAGCGUUGUCCGGACUGACUGGGCGUAAAGCGCACGCAGGCGGCACUGUGCGUGGGGUGUGAAAGCUCUUGGCUUAACUGAGAGAGGCCAUCCCAUACGGCAGAGCUGGAGCGGUGCAGAGGUCCGCGGAAUUGCCGGUGUAGUGGUGAAAUGCGUAGAGAUCGGCAGGAACACCCAGGGGGAAACCAGCGGACUGGGCAUCAGCUGACGCUCAGGUGCGACAGCGUAGGGAGCGAACCGG
This 253-nucleotide ribosomal RNA is filed under the name uncultured bacterium. RNAcentral's name for it is "partial 16S ribosomal RNA". It matches the Rfam family "Bacterial small subunit ribosomal RNA", at positions 524 to 776 of the family's 1533-position model. The record is from RNAcentral.